UGAAAUCUCACCAGGCCCGGACACUGGAAGGAUUGACAGAUUGAUAGCUCUUUCUUGAUUCGGUGCGUGGUGGUGCAUGGCCGUUCUUAGUUGGUUGAGUGAUUUGUCUUGUUAAUUCCGAUAACGAACGAGACCCCAACCUGCUAACUAGCCCUCGGGUCCUGCUUCUGUUGGGCCCGACGGAAUGAUUCGCUUCUUAGAGGGACUCGCGGCGCCUAGCCGCACGAAGGGGGGCGAUAA
Molecule: ribosomal RNA, 240 nt
Filed under: uncultured eukaryote
Lineage: Eukaryota
Description: partial 18S ribosomal RNA
Rfam family: Eukaryotic small subunit ribosomal RNA
Source: RNAcentral